This 435-nucleotide ribosomal RNA is filed under the name uncultured bacterium. Its description in RNAcentral is "bacterial SSU rRNA". It matches the Rfam family "Bacterial small subunit ribosomal RNA", at positions 28 to 445 of the family's 1533-position model. The record is from RNAcentral.
GAUGAACGCUGGCGGCGUGCUUAACACAUGCAAGUCGAGCGAAGCACUAAAGCGGAUUUCUUCGGAUUGAAGGUUUAGUGACUGAGCGGCGGACGGGUGAGUAACGCGUGGGUAACCUGCCUCAUACAGGGGGAUAACAGUUGGAAACGGCUGCUAAUACCGCAUAAGCGCACAGUACCGCAUGGUACGGUGUGAAAAACUCCGGUGGUAUGAGAUGGACCCGCGUCUGAUUAGGUAGUUGGUGGGGUAACGGCCUACCAAGCCGACGAUCAGUAGCCGACCUGAGAGGGUGACCGGCCACAUUGGGACUGGGACACGGCCCAAACUCCUACGGGAGGCAGCAGUGGGGAAUAUUGCACAAUGGGGGAAACCCUGAUGCAGCGACGCCGCGUGAGCGAAGAAGUAUUUCGGUAUGUAAAGCUCUAUCAGCAGGGA